UACCGUUGAAUCAUCCGUUGGUACCGUGCCGCCGUUAUACUUCGCUGUUGCAUCGUUGCUGACGCUAAGCGUUAACG
RNAcentral lists this transfer RNA (77 nucleotides) under Chlorobium chlorochromatii CaD3. RNAcentral describes it as "tRNA-Gln". The record is from RNAcentral. Lineage: Bacteria; Pseudomonadati; Chlorobiota; Chlorobiia; Chlorobiales; Chlorobiaceae.